AACUAACUAGUUUAAGUGAAAACGUACACUUUGAAAGUGUGAAAUAAUUAAGAAAAUUUGUUGUUAGUUU
Molecule: transfer RNA, 70 nt
Filed under: Oxylipeurus chiniri
Lineage: Eukaryota; Metazoa; Arthropoda; Insecta; Psocodea; Philopteridae
Description: tRNA-Ser
Source: RNAcentral